UCUUCUUAUGAAGAGUGUAUUCUCAGCGUUGGGGAGCUAUAAUAUUAUGCAUGAGGGCAGGAUUUCUGUUCCCCCUCUGUCCCCUUUCAGCCUGCUGAGAACACUAGUAACUGCAUCUAGCUGGGUUCUGGCUGCAUGACAUGGAGCAGGGGAGGAGAGGUGAUGUCUCAAGUGCACUAAUGUCUUUUUUCAGAAUAUUCCUGUAGGCGGAAGGAGUAGGAAGUGUUGUCAAGGCCUGAGAAACAGGACCCAGCUGCUUCUCAGAGUUCUGUAAGGAGCGGGGAGGUUGCCUUGUGGGCUGCUGUCUUUCCUCUUUCAGCAUUAAAAAAUUCAGAACGUUUUCCUUUCAAGGAAGAGUCAACUUUAAGCAGCAUGCUUUAGAACAAGACGUGUAGCUUUACAAGGAGCAACGGGAAAGGUCCAGGUUCCAGGCCCCUCCCCAGAGCUGCAUGCUGGCAGCUACCCCCCAUUCCCACCCCCCAGCCUUUACCAGCUAAGUUUCACUAACCUGGAAGCCGGCAUAGGAGCCAGUGAGCCGUGGAGAGAGGGGCUUGGACUCACAGGACGGCACCUGCUUUCUAACCAGCUGUGGAAGGAAAAUACUAUUGUUCAUCUUGAAGUGGUAGGUGAUGAGGCUGGGCUGGGCUCUGUUAAAGAAGUGACCAUGUCUUUUUUUUUUUUUUUCCAUUAUGGUUUAUCACAGGAUAUUGAAUAUAAUUCCCUGUGCUCUGCAGUAGGACAUUGUUGUUUAUCCAUUCAGUAUAUACUAGUUUGCAUCUGCUAAUCCCAAACUCCCAAUCUAUCCUUCCUCUUUCCCCUCUCCAUCUUGGCAACCACAGAUCUGUUCUCUAUGUCUGUGAGUCUGUUUCUGUUUCAUAGAUAAGUUCAUUUGUGUCCUAAUUUAGAUUCCACAUAUAAGUGAUAGCAUACGGUAUUUGUCUUUCUCUUUCUGACUUACUUCACUUAGUAUGAUCAUCUCUAGGUUCAUCCAUGUUGCUGCAAAUGGCAUUGGUUCAUUCUUUUUUAUGGCUGAGUAAUAUUCCAUUGUGUAUAUGUACCACAUCUUCUUUAUUUGUUCAUCUGUCGAUGGACAUUUAGGUUGUUCCCAUGUCUUGGCUAUUGUAAAUAGUGCAGCUCUGAGCAUAGUGGCACAUGUAUCUUUUUGAAUUAUAGUUUUAUCUGGAUAUAUGCCCAGAGGUGGCAUUGCUAGAUCAUAUGGCAACUCUAUUUUUAGUUUUUUAAGGAACCUCUAUACUGUUUUCCAUAGUGGCUGCACCAACUUAUAUUACCACCAACAGUGUAGGAGGGUUCUCUUUUCUCCACACGCCCUCCAGCAUUUGUUAUUUGUAGACUUUUUAAUGAUGGCCCUUCUGACCGGGGUCAGGUGGUACCUCAUUGUAGUUUUGAUUUGCAUCUCUCCGGUAAUUAGCGAUGUUGAGCGUCUUUUCAUGUGCCUGCUGGCCAUCUGUAUGUCUUCCUUGGAGAAAUGGAAAUGACCAUGUCUUCCUCCAGAAAUGGCUCCAGAUUAGAUGGGCAUGGCUCUGUCCCCCAUGCAGACUAUAAAGCACGUUGAAUGAGGCUUAGAACAGUGCACAUAGGAAGCCCUGGAUAAAAAUGUAGCACAACGGAAUACUAUUCAACAAUAUAAAUAAAGAACUACUGAUAUAUGCGUACAUGGAUAAACCUCCAAAACGUUAUGCUAAGAGGAAAAAAAGCCAGACACAAAAAACCAUGUGUUAUAUGAUACCAUUUAUAUAAAAUUUCCAAAAGAGGAAAAAAAAAAUACAGAGAUGGGAAGUAGAUCAGUGAUUCCCUCAGGCUGGAGGCAAUUGAAGAUUGAUCACAAAUGCUAUGGCAGAACUUGUUCAAGUGAUGGGAAAGUUCUAGAACUCGACAGCAGUGAUGUCGUACAACUCUGCACACUUAUUAAAAAUAACUGUAUUGUGCACUUAUAAUGAAUGUCUUUUUAUGGAAUGUAAACUAUACUUCAGUGAAGCUAUUACAAAUGACACCUAAAAACAAAUAAAAUUCUCAAAGAAAUAAAGGGAAGGUGUCACAUCCCUAAAGCUGGUGCUUAUGAAAUAAGAACAUGUAGCUUUGAAAAACGACUACUUGGACAUCUUGAAAACAGAAAAUACAAUUUUGCAAAAGCAACAGAUUCUUCAUUGGCAACGCUGGAAGUCAGGACAUGAGGGAGGAAUAUCUUUAAGGUGCCGUGGGAAAAAGUGUAAACUGUACUUCUAUAUCUAGCCAAAUAAUCAUUUUAAAGUGGGAGCAAAAUAAAGGCAUUUUAAGUUAUAUGAAGUGUUUAAGAAGUUACCACCCAUAGAUUCCACUGAAAAACUACAAGAGGUUGUGUUCCUGUUAGAAGAUGCUAGAAUGCAGUGGCAAGAAGGGUCAUACAAGGGGUAACAAUGAGAAAAAGUAAGUAAAAUGUAUCCUUGCUUCAAAAACAGCCAUUUAUUAGAAAUAUGGACCUAAAUUUGCAGAUAAUAUUGAGGCAGAAGACAGAUGAGCCCCCAGGGCAAACGGUUUGAGUUCGUUCCUUGUGCCCCAAUACUCCGAGAGGAGAAUAACAGGACAAUUGAGAGAGGAGGCUGGGCUCUGCCCAGAUAAGAGACCACAUAUUCCUCAUUCUUGAAGUCAGGAGACCUCCAUGACUACACAUGCGCAGAAAGGCUCCUUGGAGGUCAAAAGGAGAGUGAUGCUAAGUGGCCAAGUCUACCAUAGGCCUCUUCGGUAGAAUCCACCUUGGCUAAGAGAUGCGCGUGCACACAUGGGAAAAUCCUGAGAUACACCAAAUAUGGACUCUGGAUCAGACAAAUCAAAAUGAUUGGUCAAAGGAAACAUGGAAGAAAUGCCCCAUAUAAGUGAUUUAAACUGCCACGAGGGUGCGACCGUCUCUCUGAGCCUGCCCGUGUGUCUAUCCACACGUACUGUACCCUUUUUUUCCUCCUAAUAAAUACUUUACUUGUUUCACUA
Non-coding RNA from Kogia breviceps (pygmy sperm whale), 2982 nucleotides. NCBI's taxonomy places the organism in Eukaryota, Metazoa, Chordata, Mammalia, Artiodactyla, Physeteridae. The record is from RefSeq and is a predicted model, not a curated record.